AACGAACGCUGGCGGCGUGCCUAACACAUGCAAGUCGAACGAGAAAGGGGCUUCGGCUCCGAGUAAAGUGGCGCACGGGUGAGUAACACGUGGGUAACCUGCCUCUAAGAUUGGGAUAACUCGUCGAAAGAUGAGCUAAUACCGGAUAAGACCACAGUUUCUGCGGGAACAGCGGUCAAAGGUAGCCUCUGCUUGCAAGCUAUCACUUAGAGAUGGGCCUGCGCACCAUUAGCUAGUUGGUAGGGUAACGGCCUACCAAGGCAAAGAUGGUUAGCUGGUCUGAGAGGAUGAUCAGCCACACUGGAACUGAGACACGGUCCAGACUCCUACGGGUGGCAG
Molecule: ribosomal RNA, 339 nt
Filed under: uncultured Pseudomonadota bacterium
Lineage: Bacteria; Pseudomonadati; Pseudomonadota
Description: bacterial SSU rRNA
Rfam family: Bacterial small subunit ribosomal RNA
Source: RNAcentral